AUAUCAAUAAGCGGAGGAAAAGAAACUAACAAGGAUUCCCCCAGUAACGGCGAGUGAAGCGGCAACAGCUCAAAUUUGAAAUCUGGCACUAGCCCGAGUUGUAAUUUGUAGAGGAUGCUUUUGGUGAGGCGCCGCCCGAGUUCCCUGGAACGGGACGCCAUAGAGGGUGAGAGCCCCGUCUGGCUGGCCGCCGAGCCUCUGUAAAGCUCCUUCGACGAGUCGAGUAGUUUGGGAAUGCUGCUCAAAAUGGGAGGUAUAUGUCUUCUAAAGCUAAAUACCGGCCAGAGACCGAUAGCGCACAAGUA
This 305-nucleotide ribosomal RNA is filed under the name uncultured Trichoderma. Its description in RNAcentral is "partial large subunit ribosomal RNA". It matches the Rfam family "Eukaryotic large subunit ribosomal RNA", at positions 40 to 350 of the family's 3401-position model. Lineage: Eukaryota; Fungi; Ascomycota; Sordariomycetes; Hypocreales; Hypocreaceae. The record is from RNAcentral.